RNAcentral lists this non-coding RNA (117 nucleotides) under Arthrobacter sp. RNAcentral describes it as "SAM-IV sequence". It matches the Rfam family "SAM (S-adenosyl methionine) riboswitch aptamer". Rfam says of the family: SAM-IV is a mRNA element that regulates gene expression via direct sensing of S-adenosylmethionine (SAM or AdoMet). SAM-IV riboswitches share conserved nucleotide positions with the previously described SAM-I riboswitches sequence analysis and molecular recognition experiments suggest that SAM-I and SAM-IV riboswitches share similar ligand binding sites, but have different scaffolds. RNAcentral also lists the same sequence under 1 other name. The record is from RNAcentral. Lineage: Bacteria; Bacillati; Actinomycetota; Actinomycetes; Micrococcales; Micrococcaceae.
GGUCAUGAGUGCCAGCAGAUAGCCCCGGCUUGCUGGCCGGCAACCCUCCAACCGCGGUGGGGUGCCCCGGGUGAAGACCUGGCCGUACGCAAACAGGCGUACCGGCAAGCGCGGGCC